GGGUUGUGAGGUUAAGCGACUAAGCGUACACGGUGGAUGCCCUGGCAGUCAGAGGCGAUGAAGGGCGUGCUAAUCUGCGAUAAGCGCCGGUAAGGUGAUAUGAACCGUUAUAACCGGCGAUACCCGAAUGGGGAAACCCAGUGUGACUCGUCACACUAUCAUUAACUGAAUCCAUAGGUUAAUGAGGCGAACCGGGGGAACUGAAACAUCUAAGUACCCCGAGGAAAAGAAAUCAACCGAGAUUCCCCCAGUAGCGGCGAGCGAACGGGGAGGAGCCCAGAGCCUGAAUCAGCAUGUGUGUUAGUGGAAGCGUCUGGAAAGGCGCGCGAUACAGGGUGACAGCCCCGUACACAAAAGCGCAUGUGCUGUGAGCUCGAUGAGUAGGGCGGGACACGUGGUAUCCUGUCUGAAUAUGGGGGGACCAUCCUCCAAGGCUAAAUACUCCUGACUGACCGAUAGUGAACCAGUACCGUGAGGGAAAGGCGAAAAGAACCCCGGCGAGGGGAGUGAAAAAGAACCUGAAACCGUGUACGUACAAGCAGUGGGAGCACCCUUUGGGGUGUGACUGCGUACCUUUUGUAUAAUGGGUCAGCGACUUAUAUUCUGUAGCAAGGUUAACCGUAUAGGGGAGCCGGAGGGAAACCGAGUCUUAAUUGGGCGUUAAGUUGCAGGGUAUAGACCCGAAACCCGGUGAUCUAGCCAUGGGCAGGUUGAAGGUUGGGUAACACUAACUGGAGGACCGAACCGACUAAUGUUGAAAAAUUAGCGGAUGACCUGUGGCUGGGGGUGAAAGGCCAAUCAAACCGGGAGAUAGCUGGUUCUCCCCGAAAGCUAUUUAGGUAGCGCCUCGUGAAUUCAUCUCCGGGGGUAGAGCACUGUUUCGGCUAGGGGGCCAUCCCGGCUUACCAACCCGAUGCAAACUGCGAAUACCGGAGAAUGUUAUCACGGGAGACACACGGCGGGUGCUAACGUCCGUCGUGAAGAGGGAAACAACCCAGACCGCCAGCUAAGGUCCCAAAGUCAUGGUUAAGUGGGAAACGAUGUGGGAAGGCCCAGACAGCCAGGAUGUUGGCUUAGAAGCAGCCAUCAUUUAAAGAAAGCGUAAUAGCUCACUGGUCGAGUCGGCCUGCGCGGAAGAUGUAACGGGGCUAAACCAUGCACCGAAGCUGCGGCAGCGAACGUAUCACUUAAAGUGAUUCAGCGGGUUACGAUUGACGGAGCGAAGCGACGUCAAAGCGUAUACAAAGUCGAGUCGGUUUAAGGAUACGUUCGUUGGGUAGGGGAGCGUUCUGUAAGCCUGUGAAGGUGGCCUGUGAGGGUUGCUGGAGGUAUCAGAAGUGCGAAUGCUGACAUAAGUAACGAUAAAGCGGGUGAAAAGCCCGCUCGCCGGAAGACCAAGGGUUCCUGUCCAACGUUAAUCGGGGCAGGGUGAGUCGACCCCUAAGGCGAGGCCGAAAGGCGUAGUCGAUGGGAAACGGGUUAAUAUUCCCGUACUUGGUGUUACUGCGAAGGGGGGACGGAGAAGGCUAUGUUGGCCGGGCGACGGUUGUCCCGGUUUAAGCGUGUAGGUGUGUGUUCCAGGUAAAUCCGGUUCACUUUAACACUGAGGCGUGAUGACGAGGCACUACGGUGCUGAAGUAACAAAUGCCCUGCUUCCAGGAAAAGCCUCUAAGCAUCAGGUAACAUCAAAUCGUACCCCAAACCGACACAGGUGGUCAGGUAGAGAAUACCAAGGCGCUUGAGAGAACUCGGGUGAAGGAACUAGGCAAAAUGGUGCCGUAACUUCGGGAGAAGGCACGCUGACACGUAGGUGAAGUGAUUUACUCACGGAGCUGAAGUCAGUCGAAGAUACCAGCUGGCUGCAACUGUUUAUUAAAAACACAGCACUGUGCAAACACGAAAGUGGACGUAUACGGUGUGACGCCUGCCCGGUGCCGGAAGGUUAAUUGAUGGGGUCAGCGCAAGCGAAGCUCCUGAUCGAAGCCCCGGUAAACGGCGGCCGUAACUAUAACGGUCCUAAGGUAGCGAAAUUCCUUGUCGGGUAAGUUCCGACCUGCACGAAUGGCGUAAUGAUGGCCAGGCUGUCUCCACCCGAGACUCAGUGAAAUUGAACUCGCUGUGAAGAUGCAGUGUACCCGCGGCAAGACGGAAAGACCCCGUGAACCUUUACUAUAGCUUGACACUGAACAUUGAGCCUUGAUGUGUAGGAUAGGUGGGAGGCUUUGAAGUGUGGACGCCAGUCUGCAUGGAGCCGACCUUGAAAUACCACCCUUUAAUGUUUGAUGUUCUAACGUGGACCCGUGAUCCGGGUUGCGGACAGUGUCUGGUGGGUAGUUUGACUGGGGCGGUCUCCUCCUAAAGAGUAACGGAGGAGCACGAAGGUUGGCUAAUCCUGGUCGGACAUCAGGAGGUUAGUGCAAUGGCAUAAGCCAGCUUGACUGCGAGCGUGACGGCGCGAGCAGGUGCGAAAGCAGGUCAUAGUGAUCCGGUGGUUCUGAAUGGAAGGGCCAUCGCUCAACGGAUAAAAGGUACUCCGGGGAUAACAGGCUGAUACCGCCCAAGAGUUCAUAUCGACGGCGGUGUUUGGCACCUCGAUGUCGGCUCAUCACAUCCUGGGGCUGAAGUAGGUCCCAAGGGUAUGGCUGUUCGCCAUUUAAAGUGGUACGCGAGCUGGGUUUAGAACGUCGUGAGACAGUUCGGUCCCUAUCUGCCGUGGGCGCUGGAGAACUGAGGGGGGCUGCUCCUAGUACGAGAGGACCGGAGUGGACGCAUCACUGGUGUUCGGGUUGUCAUGCCAAUGGCACUGCCCGGUAGCUAAAUGCGGAAGAGAUAAGUGCUGAAAGCAUCUAAGCACGAAACUUGCCCCGAGAUGAGUUCUCCCUGAGACUUUAGGUCUCCUGAAGGAACGUUGAAGACGACGACGUUGAUAGGCCGGGUGUGUAAGCGCAGCGAUGCGUUGAGCUAACCGGUACUAAUGAACCGUGAGGCUUAACCUUACAACGCCGAAGCUGUU
Molecule: ribosomal RNA, 3013 nt
Filed under: Salmonella enterica subsp. enterica serovar Enteritidis
Lineage: Bacteria; Pseudomonadati; Pseudomonadota; Gammaproteobacteria; Enterobacterales; Enterobacteriaceae
Description: 23S ribosomal RNA
Rfam family: Bacterial large subunit ribosomal RNA
Source: RNAcentral